Long non-coding RNA from Drosophila biarmipes, 328 nucleotides. RefSeq lists it as uncharacterized. Lineage: Eukaryota; Metazoa; Arthropoda; Insecta; Diptera; Drosophilidae. The record is from RefSeq and is a predicted model, not a curated record. The transcript has 3 exons.
CGUUAAGACCUAACCUUAAACUAAACAAACAAUUUGAAACAAACAGCCUAGACGGAAGCAUACUUCUCGUACAAUGGGUAGAAACAACUUCAGAGCGACCCUCUAAAUACCCUGGAAAUGAGGCAACAGCUGUGGAAAAGGGCCCUGUGCCGGAUUAGAUGAUCGGCGUCUGGUUUUGCAACAUUUGCCCAGUUAUUAUCUUUGGGAGUUGGCGGCACUGGUUGAUUUACGGCGAUGAAUUUCCUAAGUGGAACAAGUCAAAUAAAGCAAGAUCAUUUGUAACCGUUCCCCAACACGCAACGUGAUGUAAAAGGGAGAGGUAUGAGGG